This 406-nucleotide ribosomal RNA is filed under the name uncultured bacterium. Its description in RNAcentral is "partial 16S ribosomal RNA". It matches the Rfam family "Bacterial small subunit ribosomal RNA", at positions 29 to 526 of the family's 1533-position model. The record is from RNAcentral.
AUUGAACGCUGGCGGCAGGCCUAACACAUGCAAGUCGAACGAGUGGCGGACGGGUGAGUAAUGUCUGGGCAACUGCCCGCUGGAGGGGGAUAACUACUGGAAACGGUAGAUACUACCGCAUAACAUAGGAUACGCCAACGUGGGAUUAGUUAGUUGGUGAGGUAAAGGCUCAACAAGACGACGAUGUCUAGCUGGUCUGAGAGGAUGAGCAGCCACACGGGGAAUGGGACACGGCCCAGACUCCGACGGGAGGCAGCAGUGGGGAAUAUUGCGCAAUGGGAGCAACCCUGACGCAGCCAUGCCGCGUGAAUGAAGAAGGCCUUCGGGUUGUAAAGUACGUUCGGUAGCGAGGCGUUACCUACAGAAGAAGCACCGGCUAACUCCGUGCCAGCAGCCGCGGUAAUAC